Molecule: ribosomal RNA, 305 nt
Filed under: uncultured bacterium
Lineage: Bacteria
Description: bacterial SSU rRNA
Rfam family: Bacterial small subunit ribosomal RNA
Source: RNAcentral
CCUACGGGAGGCAGCAGUGAGGAAUAUUGGUCAAUGGGCGGGAGCCUGAACCAGCCAAGUCGCGUGAGGGAAGACGGUCCUAUGGACUGUAAACUUCUUUUAUAUGGGAAUAAAGUGCAGUAUGUAUACUGCUUUGCAUGUACCUUAUGAAUAAGGAUCGGCUAACUCCGUGCCAGCAGCCGCGGUAAUACGGAGGAUCCGAGCGUUAUCCGGAUUUAUUGGGUUUAAAGGGAGCGUAGGCGGGUUGUUAAGUCAGUUGUGAAAGUUUGCGGCUCAACCGUAAAAUUGCAGUUGAUACUGGCAUC